RNAcentral lists this ribosomal RNA (495 nucleotides) under uncultured bacterium. RNAcentral's name for it is "partial 16S ribosomal RNA". It matches the Rfam family "Bacterial small subunit ribosomal RNA", at positions 28 to 507 of the family's 1533-position model. The record is from RNAcentral.
GACGAACGCUGGCGGCGUGCCUAAUACAUGCAAGUAGAACGCUGAAGGAGGAGCUUGCUUCUCUGGAUGAGUUGCGAACGGGUGAGUAACGCGUAGGUAACCUGCCUGGUAGCGGGGGAUAACUAUUGGAAACGAUAGCUAAUACCGCAUAAUAGCAGUUAUUGCAUGAUAACUGUUUGAAAGGUGCAAUUGCACCACUACCAGAUGGACCUGCGUUGUAUUAGCUAGUUGGUGGGGUAACGGCUCGCCAAGGCGACGAUACAUAGCCGACCUGAGAGGGUGAUCGGCCACACUGGGACUGAGACACGGCCCAGACUCCUACGGGAGGCAGCAGUAGGGAAUCUUCGGCAAUGGACGGAAGUCUGACCGAGCAACGCCGCGGGAGUGAAGAAGGUUUUCGGAUCGUAAAGCUCUGUUGUAAGAGAAGAACGAGUGUGAGAGUGGAAAGUUCACACUGUGACGGUAGCUUACCAGAAAGGGACGGCUAACUACGUG